RNAcentral lists this small RNA (222 nucleotides) under Vigna angularis var. angularis. RNAcentral describes it as "Non-protein coding transcript". Lineage: Eukaryota; Viridiplantae; Streptophyta; Magnoliopsida; Fabales; Fabaceae. The record is from RNAcentral.
CUUGAGAAAUAGAGAAGAAAGAGUUAGGGAGAAAUUUUUUAGUUGCAAGAAGAGUAGAGGUUCUGAAGGGUUUCGGGGAAACAAAGUCGGAGCAGGAGAUUAAGUCUGGAAUAGAGAUGAAGGAAUGUCGCCUCACCUUGUACCAAGGAAAGGGAGGAGUAGAAGAACUAUAAUUAGAACCUUUUUACAUGUAUAGACUUAUAUCAACUAGGAAAUUUUAAA